Rattus norvegicus (Norway rat) is the source of this 80-nucleotide non-coding RNA. The record is from Rfam. Lineage: Eukaryota; Metazoa; Chordata; Mammalia; Rodentia; Muridae.
GGGGAUUUAGCUCAGUGGUAGAGCACUUGCCUAGCAGGAGCAAGGCCCUAGCAAGGCCCUGGGUUCGGUCCCCAGCUCCG